AGUGAACGCUGGCGGUAGGCCUAACACAUGCAAGUCGAACGGCAGCACAGUAAGAGCUUGCUCUUACGGGUGGCGAGUGGCGGAAGGGUGAGGAAAACAUCGGAAUCUACUUUUUCGAGGGGGAUAACGUAGGGAAACAUACGCUAAUACGGCAUACGACCUCCGGGUGAAAGGAGGGGAUCAUAGGACCUUGCGCGACUGAAUGAGCUGAUGUCGGAUUAGCGAGUUGGCGGGGCAAAGGCGCAACAAGGCGACGGUCCGUAGCUGGGCUGAGAGGGUGAGCUGGCACGCUGGAACUGAGACACGGUCCAGAGGCGUACGGGAGGCAGCAGUGACGAAUACUGGACGAUGGGCGCAAGCAUAAUGCAGCCAUACCGCGUGGGUGAUGAAGGCCUUCUGUGUGUACAGCCCAGGUUUUCGGAAAGAAAAGUAGCUUGAUAAGGCCCCGAGGUUCUGACGGUACCUGAAGAAUAAGCACCGGCUAACUUCGUG
This 492-nucleotide ribosomal RNA is filed under the name uncultured bacterium. RNAcentral's name for it is "partial 16S ribosomal RNA". It matches the Rfam family "Bacterial small subunit ribosomal RNA", at positions 30 to 507 of the family's 1533-position model. The record is from RNAcentral.